UGGGGAAUUUUGGGCAAUGGGCGCAAGCCUGACCCAGCGACACUGCGUGGGUGAUGACGGUCUUUGGAUUGUAAAACCCUUUUAUGGAGGAGUAAGGCGGGAAGGAGGAAAUGCCUUUCCGUUUGACAGUACUCCAUGAAUAAGCCCCAGCCAACUACGUGCCAGCAGCUGCGGUAAUACGUAGGGGGCAAGCGUUGUCCGGAAUUACUGGGUGUAAAGGGUGUGCAGGCGUCUCCCUAAGUUGAUUGUGAAAGCCCGAAGCUCAACUUCGGAACGGCAGUCAAUACUGGGGGGAUGGAGGUUAUGGGAGGGAAGUGGAAUUCUCGGUGUAGCGGUGAAAUGCGUAGAUAUCGAGAGGAACACCGGUGGCGAAGGCGGCUUCCUAUCAUAGACCUGACGC
Molecule: ribosomal RNA, 400 nt
Filed under: uncultured bacterium
Lineage: Bacteria
Description: bacterial SSU rRNA
Rfam family: Bacterial small subunit ribosomal RNA
Source: RNAcentral